GGUCGAGUCGUCUAGAGGAAGUUUUGGUAUCCUCGGCGUCAGGAUGAACGCUGGCGGCGUGCCUAACACAUAGCAAGUCGAACGGACAUAAUUGAACCUAGUGAGAUUAUGUUAGUGGCGGACGGGUGAGUAACGCGUGGGCGAACCUGCCCCGACUACCGGGGGAUACCAGCCGGAAACGGGCUGCUAAUACCGCAUAAGCGCACAGCUUUGCAUGAAGCAGUGUGAAGAACUCCGGUGGUAUGGGAUGGACCCGCGUCCGAUUCGCCAGUUGCGGGGUAGAGGCCCACCAAAGCGACGAUCGGUAGCCGGCCUGAGAGGGCGGACGGCCACAUUGGGACUGAGACACGGCCCAAACUCCUACGGGAGGCAGCAGUGGGGAAUAUUGCACAAUGGGGGGAACCCUGAUGCAGCGACGCCGCGUGAGUGAAGAAGUCAUUCGUGGUGUAAAGCUCUAUCAGCAGGGAAGAAAAUGACGGUACCUGACUAAGAAGCCCCGGCUAACUACGUG
This 511-nucleotide ribosomal RNA is filed under the name uncultured Lachnospiraceae bacterium. RNAcentral describes it as "bacterial SSU rRNA". It matches the Rfam family "Bacterial small subunit ribosomal RNA", at positions 1 to 507 of the family's 1533-position model. The record is from RNAcentral. Lineage: Bacteria; Bacillati; Bacillota; Clostridia; Lachnospirales; Lachnospiraceae.